This 484-nucleotide ribosomal RNA is filed under the name uncultured bacterium. RNAcentral's name for it is "partial 16S ribosomal RNA". It matches the Rfam family "Bacterial small subunit ribosomal RNA", at positions 30 to 507 of the family's 1533-position model. The record is from RNAcentral.
AUUGAACGCUGGCGGCAGGCCUAACACAUGCAAGUCGAGCGGAUGAAGGGAGCUUGCUCCUGGAUUCAGCGGCGGACGGGUGAGUAAUGCCUAGGAAUCUGCCUGGUAGUGGGGGAUAACGUCCGGAAACGGGCGCUAAUACCGCAUACGUCCUGAGGGAGAAAGUGGGGGAUCUUCGGCCCUCACGCUUUCAGGUGAGCCUAGGUCGGAUGAGCUAGUUGGUGGGGUAAUGGCCUACCGAGGCGACGAUGCGUAACUGGUCUGAGAGGAUGAUCAGUCACACUGGAACUGAGACACGGCCCAGACUCCUACGGGAGGAAGCAGUGGGGAAUAUUGGACGAUGGGGCAAAGCCUGAUACAGCCAUGCCGCGGGUGUGAAGAAGGUCUUCGGAUGGGAAAGCACUGUAAGUUGGGAGGAAGGGAAGUAAGUUAAUACCUGGCUGUAUUGACGUUACCAACAGAAUAAGCACCGGCUAACUUCGUG